AGGCCCGAGGAGAAGGAGAGAUGUCCAAAUCCCUGUGGUUCAAGGGCGGCCCGGGGGGUGGUCUCAUCAUCAUCGACAGCAUGCCGGACAUCCGCAAGAGGAAGCCCAUCCCACUCGUGAGCGACCUGGCCAUGUCCCUGGUCCAGUCCAGGAAGGCGGGCAUCACCUCGGCCUUGGCCUCCAGCACGUUGAACAACGAGGAGCUGGUGCGUGGGCGCCUUUCAUCCCAGUGGGGGUGCCAG
Carlito syrichta (Philippine tarsier) is the source of this 242-nucleotide long non-coding RNA. RefSeq lists it as uncharacterized. The transcript has 4 exons. The record is from RefSeq and is a predicted model, not a curated record. Lineage: Eukaryota; Metazoa; Chordata; Mammalia; Primates; Tarsiidae.